GACGAACGCUGGCGGCGUGCUUAACACAUGCAAGUCGAACGGAAAGGCCCUGCUUUUGUGGGGUGCUCGAGUGGCGAACGGGUGAGUAACACGUGAGUAACCUGCCCCUGACUUUGGGAUAACUUCAGGAAACUGGGGCUAAUACCGGAUAGGAGCUCCUGCUGCAUGGUGGGGGUUGGAAAGUUUCGGCGGUUGGGGAUGGACUCGCGGCUUAUCAGCUUGUUGGUGGGGUAGUGGCUUACCAAGGCUUUGACGGGUAGCAGGCCUGAGAGGGUGACCGGCCACAUUGGGACUGAGAUACGGCCCGGACUCCUACGGGAGGCAGCAGUGGGGAAUAUUGCACAAUGGGCGGAAGCCUGAUGCAGCAACGCCGCGUGCGGGAUGACGGCCUUCGGGUUGUAAACCGCUUUCGCCUGUGACGAGGCGUGAGUGACGGUAAUGGGUAAAGAAGCACCGGCUAACUACGUG
Molecule: ribosomal RNA, 468 nt
Filed under: uncultured bacterium
Lineage: Bacteria
Description: partial 16S ribosomal RNA
Rfam family: Bacterial small subunit ribosomal RNA
Source: RNAcentral